GUUAGCCCAACACCCCUCUAUCCCUUUGUGCGUAUCCCGUAUCAGCAACAGAAGUCGGAAUCCCUCAUCUUUCUUCCUCACGUUCUUAAUCAGAUUCUACACAAAAAAAAUCGAGGUCUAUAUUUUUCAAACGAUCCCAGGAAACGACGAUGAAAAUGAAGGUUGUAUGGAGGCUCAAAGGUCGGUCGUCGUGCGUGGUGGUGUUGGGACGAAGCCAGUAAGUUGUGGAUGAUUGUGUGGUGUGUGGAAGCUGGAAUCAGGAAAGGGUGAAAGAGGAUGAAUGGUGAGGUGUAUGGUGAUAUAAGGUGGUUCGGUGGUGGCUGUUUGUGUGGGUGAUUUGGCGGAUAACGGAGGCUGUAACGGAGGGUGAAGUGGGGUUUAGGUGGAGGUCAAAAGGAUUGAGGGUAAAGGAGGUUCAAGGGUGGAAUAAGGUUGUCACGGUGGUGGCUGAUGAAUGGAGGAGGGUGGUACUUGGUGGUGUUGUGCAGGUAAAUAGCAGGGGACGAUAGUGGGGGGUUGGUGAUUGUGUAAGCUGUGAAGGGAGUAAUAAGGGUGGUGAAAUGGAGUUGGGUCUCGUGGGUAUGGAAGACGUUUAAUGGUCGAGUUUUUGAUGAUGAUGAAUGGAGGAAUAAGGUGAAGGAGAUGGAGGAAAGAGGUGGUUUUUUUUUGAGUUACGGGUGGAGAAGGGCUAAGGCGAAGAUGGUCGGUGAUGAAAAGGUUCCAUUGUUUUUUUUAUUUCGAGAAAAAUCUUCAAACAGAGCAAAUCAACGAAUGACUUUUGUAUUUUUGAAAUCCAUGAAUCAUGUAAUUAGAAAUCUCCAAUUUUCUUUGUCAUAGAGUUGUGUGUUGUAUAUAACUUUGGUCUUUGUAGUUGAGUUGUGUGUUAACCCGAACAAAAACCAAAAUUCGUUACUGAA
This is a long non-coding RNA of Lactuca sativa (garden lettuce), 917 nucleotides long. RefSeq lists it as uncharacterized. Lineage: Eukaryota; Viridiplantae; Streptophyta; Magnoliopsida; Asterales; Asteraceae. The record is from RefSeq and is a predicted model, not a curated record.